CCCUUCAGAGGGGGACAACAGUUGGAAACGACUGCUAAUACCGCAUACGACCUGACCUCGGCAUCGAGGAUGGAUGAAAGGUGGCCUCUAUUUAUAAGCUAUCACUGAAGGAGGGGAUUGCGUCUGAUUAGCUAGUUGGAGGGGUAACGGCCCACCAAGGCGAUGAUCAGUAGCCGGUCUGAGAGGAUGAACGGCCACAUUGGGACUGAGACACGGCCCAG
Molecule: ribosomal RNA, 221 nt
Filed under: uncultured bacterium
Lineage: Bacteria
Description: partial 16S ribosomal RNA
Rfam family: Bacterial small subunit ribosomal RNA
Source: RNAcentral